UACGUAGGCAGCGAGCGUUGUUCGGAGUUACUGGGCGUAAAGGGUGUGUAGGCGGUUGUUUAAGUUUGGUGUGAAAUCUCCCGGCUCAACUGGGAGGGUGCGCCGAAUACUGAAUGACUUGGAGUGCGGGAGAGGAGAGUGGAAUUCCUGGUGUAGCGGUGAAAUGCGUAGAUAUCAGGAGGAACACCGGUGGUGUAAACGGCUUUCUGGACCAUAACUGACGCUGAGGCACGAAGGCGUGGGGAGCGAACGGG
RNAcentral lists this ribosomal RNA (254 nucleotides) under uncultured bacterium. Its description in RNAcentral is "partial 16S ribosomal RNA". It matches the Rfam family "Bacterial small subunit ribosomal RNA", at positions 524 to 776 of the family's 1533-position model. The record is from RNAcentral.